AAAAUAAGUUUUUUUUUUUAAUUUUCAGUAGAGAACCCAUCUAAUUCAUCUACACCCUCAUCCUCCUCAUCACCUCCAACAUCAUCAGCCCUUGUAUAAGCUCCACUCUUAUCUCCCCUCUCAUACCUAACAAAAUCAGCCGUUAUAUAAGCUCCAUUCUCAUCUCCAACAUCAUCUCCCUUAUCAUCUCCCACAUCAUGAUCAACCUCUAUGAGCUCCACCUGUAGCUAUAUCUUCAUCUUCAAUAUCUUUUUUCUCAACUACACUCUUGUCUCCAACACCAUCUUCUUCCUCAGCUACACCGUUACUUCUAACAUCAUCUUUAACCUCAACUGCACCUCAACUACACCCUCAACUCCAACAUCAACUUUAUCCUUCUUCCCACCAUCAACACCAUUAUCAUUAUCAUUACUAUUAUCAUUAUCAUUACUACCACCACCAAUAGCAUCAAUAGUUCCAUCACGUUGAAUAUUAUAAUUAAAAG
This 484-nucleotide long non-coding RNA is filed under the name Ananas comosus (pineapple). RNAcentral describes it as "long non-coding RNA (ACOM_LNC025787)". The record is from RNAcentral. Lineage: Eukaryota; Viridiplantae; Streptophyta; Magnoliopsida; Poales; Bromeliaceae.